Molecule: ribosomal RNA, 218 nt
Filed under: uncultured bacterium
Lineage: Bacteria
Description: partial 16S ribosomal RNA
Rfam family: Bacterial small subunit ribosomal RNA
Source: RNAcentral
ACGCUCGACACCUACGGAGGCAGCAGUGAGGAAUAUUGGUCAAUGGGGCGCUAGCCUGAACCAGCCAAGUAGCGUGAAGGAUGAAGGCUCUAUGGGUCGUAAACUUCUUUUAUAUAAGAAUAAAGUGCAGUAUGUAUACUGUUUUGUAUGUAUUAUAUGAAUAAGGAUCGGCUAACUCCGUGUCAGCAGCCGCGGUAAUCUGAGCGGGCUGGCAAGGC